This 1292-nucleotide long non-coding RNA is filed under the name Mustela putorius furo (domestic ferret). RNAcentral's name for it is "lncRNA (ENSMPUG00000029449.1)". The record is from RNAcentral. Lineage: Eukaryota; Metazoa; Chordata; Mammalia; Carnivora; Mustelidae.
AUGCUUUGCUCGGUGACGGCACCUGCGCAGUGCUCGUCCUGCGUCAGCUGCUGUGAUGACAGUGAACAACGCCCCCUACCCCCCAUGGAGGGACUGCCUCUUGUCCUUGAUGUUCACCUGGUUUUAGAUCCAGUUCUUUCCUGGCGACUCUUGCCUUCCAACACAAGAUCGUGCUCGAAUGCCAUCUUGAAUGCCAGCGGACUUUGUUGGAGCAGGAACCAAUGGUACAGGAUCAAUUCGGAUGGGUUGCGAUCCACAGGGGCUAAAUAAACAGAUUAAGAACACAUUUUUUUAAUUGUGAGAUUCUUUUUACUACGAUUAACCUAUUUAAUAAGCAAAACUCUGAGGACGUCAGGACAGAGAGAGCAUAUCUGUUUCAUCCAUUAUACACAGCUCCUGAACGGGGCUUUGGCAUUGUUUGAGUGAGUGACUGCAUGAUGGAUGAAGAGCCGUUUUUGUUGAACGUAUUAAGAAGGUGAGGAGCAGAGAUGAAGCAGCUGCCAGAAUGACCUGACGAGUCAGAGCGGAGCCUGGUGGUGAUCUCACUGCCCGCUCCCACCAUCCACUUCGGAUGGCACCAAGGUAGCCUCCCCAGGACAGGAAGUAUCAGAAAACACUCAGGCAGCCUCUGUGCUCAGGAUCCUGGCAUCGUGAGAUGUUUUAAUGAUGUGACUCAAAUUUCCUCCCACUGUCUGGAUGGGACACCAGCAGGAUCCCUAGCCCUGGGAAAUCCAGCUGCCAACACCAAAUCUGGCCCGCUGCACAGCUGGCAGUCGUAUCUCAGACUGGAUGCGCGGGACCAUGGCCCUGAUGACAAACAGACUCCACUAGGCCACCCAGACAGCACUGAGCAGGCCACCAAGAGGCAGCUGCCUGGGCCAGGGGCUCUGGGAUGAGGGCCAGAUGAAAGAGAAACCUCUUGUGUGGCUCUUGUGAGAGGCUCUCACUCUCUCCACAUACCCACUUGCUCAUUCAUUCAUUCAUUCAUUCUAGAGGCUGUCAUAUGAUAGUCCCAUGCACUGGGGUCCCUGAGGUUGGUGCCACUGUCCAACCAUCUGGAGCUGCGCUCUCCAGUAUGGCCGACGUGAGCCACGGGCAGCCGCUGGGCACUUGAAGAGUGGCUCAUCUGAAUUGAAACAUGUUGUAAGUGUCAAGUAUCCCCUGGAUUCCAAACACAUUGUACAAAAGGGGAAAAAAGCGGUGCCUGGGUGGCUCUGUGGGUUAAGCCUCUGCCUUCGGCUCAGGUCGUGAUCUCAGGGUCCUGGGAUCAAGCCUCACAUCGGACUCUGCUC